RNAcentral lists this transfer RNA (84 nucleotides) under Marisediminitalea aggregata. RNAcentral describes it as "Aestuariibacter aggregatus tRNA". It matches the Rfam family "tRNA". From Rfam's summary of the family: Transfer RNA (tRNA) molecules are approximately 80 nucleotides in length. The record is from Rfam by way of RNAcentral. Lineage: Bacteria; Pseudomonadati; Pseudomonadota; Gammaproteobacteria; Alteromonadales; Alteromonadaceae.
GCCAGAGUGGCGGAAUUGGUAGACGCAGCGGAUUCAAAAUCCGCCGGGGGUAACUCUGUGCCGGUUCAAGUCCGGCCUCUGGUA